GAUGAACGCUAGCUACAGGCUUAACACAUGCAAGUCGAGGGGAAACGGCAUUAAGUGCUUGCACUUUUUGGACGUCGACCGGCGCACGGGUGAGUAACGCGUAUCCAACCUUCCCAUGACUAAGGGAUAACCUGCCGAAAGGCAGACUAAUACCUUAUGUUCUUCACUGACGGCAUCAGAUGUGAAGUAAAGAUUUAUCGGUUAUGGAUGGGGAUGCGUCUGAUUAGCUUGUUGGCGGGGUAACGGCCCACCAAGGCAACGAUCAGUAGGGGUUCUGAGAGGAAGCUCCCCCACAUUGGAACUGGGACACGGUCCAAACUCCUACGGGAGGCAGCAGAGAGGAAGACUGGGCAAGGGGCGAGAGCCUGAACCAGCCAAGUAGGGUGCAGGAGGACGGCGCUAUGGGUUGUAAACUGCUUUUGUAUGGGGAUAAAGUCAAUAACGUGUGAUUGUUUGCAGGUACCAUACGAAUAAGGACCGGCUAAUUCCGUG
Molecule: ribosomal RNA, 492 nt
Filed under: uncultured bacterium
Lineage: Bacteria
Description: partial 16S ribosomal RNA
Rfam family: Bacterial small subunit ribosomal RNA
Source: RNAcentral